Molecule: long non-coding RNA, 510 nt
Organism: Ornithorhynchus anatinus (platypus)
Lineage: Eukaryota; Metazoa; Chordata; Mammalia; Monotremata; Ornithorhynchidae
Exons: 2
Source: RefSeq, a predicted model, not a curated record
CAGCCGUUUCCCAGCCUGGGAGGGGCCGGCCAGACCGGGAGACCCGGUUGGGAUGGAGAAGGAUGAAGAUCUCACAUCCUUCUCCAAAUUUAGGGAAGAAAGGCCGCAUUGUGAGUCUCCCAGACCGUACAGACAAUCCAGCCCUCCUCCAAACUCCUUUCCAAACCCUUCUCCACUGGGGAGUGAGUGACCGGACCUGUCCACCUCAGAGGCGACCACUGGCCGGCAAGCAAGACAGAUGUAGCGGAAGAGGCCAACAGAGGGUUUAUAGCCCCUGAAGCGAAAACCCACAUCUCUCUUUUUCCCCCCCUCAUGCCCUCUUCCCUCCUCACACUUCUGACUCCAACCAGAGGGGUCACCCACUGUCCCGUGGUCCCGGCCUCCGGAACAUGGGACCAAUGGCCUGUCGCUCGCUGGAAAUGUUCCCAGCUGGACACCCCCACGCACCCGGGGCUCCGGCCACAGAAUCCUCUUCACGAUUCAAAUUAAAAAAUAAUAUAUGUAUCAUAA